RNAcentral lists this ribosomal RNA (777 nucleotides) under uncultured bacterium. RNAcentral describes it as "bacterial SSU rRNA". It matches the Rfam family "Bacterial small subunit ribosomal RNA", at positions 712 to 1504 of the family's 1533-position model. The record is from RNAcentral.
AUUGCGAAGGCAGCUCACUAAACUAUUACUGACGCUCAUGAACGAAAGCGUGGGAGCAAACAGGAUUAGAUACCCUGGUAGUCCACGCCGUAAACUAUGAUCACUAGAUGUUGGCGAUAUAUUGUCAGUGUUUUAGAGAAAUCGUUAAGUGAUCCACCUGGGGAGUACGUUCGCAAGAAUGAAACUCAAAGGAAUUGACGGGGGCCCGCACAAGCGGAGGAGCAUGUGGUUUAAUUCGAUGAUACGCGAGGAACCUUACCAAGACUUAAAUGUAUUUUGACAGGUUGAGAAAUCAACUUUUCUUCGGACAAUUUACAAGGUGCUGCAUGGUUGUCGUCAGCUCGUGCCGUGAGGUGUCGGGUUAAGUCCCGUAACGAGCGCAACCCCUAUUUUUAGUUACCAGCGAGUCAUGUCGGGAACUCUAGAAAGACUGCCUGUGUAAACGGUGAGGAAGGUGGGGAUGACGUCAAAUCAUCACGGCCCUUAUGUCUUGGGCUACACACGUGCUACAAUGGUCACUACAGUGGGCUGCCAUCUGGCAACAGAGAGCAAAUCCAUAAAGGUGAUCCCAGUUCGGAUCGGAGUCUGCAACUCGACUCUGUGAAGUUGGAUUCGCUAGUAAUCGUAUAUCAGCAAUGAUACGGUGAAUACGUUCCCGGGCCUUGUACACACCGCCCGUCAAGCCAUGGAAGUUUGUGGUGCCUGAAGUCAGUAACCGUAAGGAUCUGCCUAGGGUAAAACAGAUAACUAGGGCUAAGUCGUAACAAGGUAACCGUA